CUGGGGCUGUAGUCGGUCCCAAGGGUUGGGCUGUUCGCCCAUUAAAGCGGUACGCGAGCUGGGUUCAGAACGUCGUGAGACAGUUCGGUCCCUAUCCGUCGUGGGCGUAGGAAAUUUGAGAGGAGCUGUCCUUAGUACGAGAGGACCGGGAUGGACACACCGCUGGUGUACCAGUUGUCUUGCCAAAGGCAUCGCUGGGUAGCUAUGUGUGGACGGGAUAAGUGCUGAAAGCAUCUAAG
This 239-nucleotide ribosomal RNA is filed under the name Winogradskyella ouciana. Its description in RNAcentral is "Winogradskyella sp. ZXX205 partial 23S ribosomal RNA". It matches the Rfam family "Bacterial large subunit ribosomal RNA", at positions 2547 to 2785 of the family's 2925-position model. Lineage: Bacteria; Pseudomonadati; Bacteroidota; Flavobacteriia; Flavobacteriales; Flavobacteriaceae. The record is from RNAcentral.